AGAGUUUGAUCCUGGCUCAGAUUGAACGCUGGCGGCAGGCCUAACACAUGCAAGUCGAGCGGCAGCGGGAAAGUAGCUUGCUACUUUUGCCGGCGAGCGGCGGACGGGUGAGUAAUGCCUGGGGAUCUGCCCAGUCGAGGGGGAUAACUACUGGAAACGGUAGCUAAUACCGCAUACGCCCUACGGGGGAAAGCAGGGGACCUUCGGGCCUUGCGCGAUUGGAUGAACCCAGGUGGGAUUAGCUAGUUGGUGAGGUAAYGGCUCACCAAGGCGACGAUCCCUAGCUGGUCUGAGAGGAUGAUCAGCCACACUGGAACUGAGACACGGUCCAGACUCCUACGGGAGGCAGCAGUGGGGAAUAUUGCACAAUGGGGGAAACCCUGAUGCAGCCAUGCCGCGUGUGUGAAGAAGGCCUUCGGGUUGUAAAGCACUUUCAGCGAGGAGGAAAGGUUGGUAGCUAAUAACUGCCAGCUGUGACGUACUCGCAGACGA
RNAcentral lists this ribosomal RNA (492 nucleotides) under Aeromonas sp. AKB-2008-4316E. RNAcentral describes it as "bacterial SSU rRNA". It matches the Rfam family "Bacterial small subunit ribosomal RNA", at positions 8 to 488 of the family's 1533-position model. The record is from RNAcentral. Lineage: Bacteria; Pseudomonadati; Pseudomonadota; Gammaproteobacteria; Aeromonadales; Aeromonadaceae.